This 478-nucleotide ribosomal RNA is filed under the name uncultured bacterium. RNAcentral describes it as "partial 16S ribosomal RNA". It matches the Rfam family "Bacterial small subunit ribosomal RNA", at positions 28 to 523 of the family's 1533-position model. The record is from RNAcentral.
GACGAACGCUGGCGGCGUGCUUAACACAUGCAAGUCGAACGGUAAGGCCCUUCGGGGUACACGAGUGGCGAACGGGUGAGUAACACGUGGGUGAUCUGCCCUGCACUUCGGGAUAAGCCUGGGAAACUGGGUCUAAUACCGGAUAGGACCACUGCCUGCAUGGGUGGUGGUGGAAAGCUUUUGCGGUGUGGGAUGGGCCCGCGGCCUGUUCGGUGGUUGGUGGAGUGAUGGCCUCCCAGGGCGACGACCGGUAGCCGGCCUGGGAGGGUGGCCGGCCACAGUGUGACUGAGAUACGGCCCAGACUCCUACUGGAGGCAGCAGUGAGGAAUAUUGCACAAUGGGCGCAAGCCUGAUGCAGCGACGCCGCGUGAAGGAUGACGGCCUUCGGGUUGUAAACCUCUUUCAGCACCGACGAAGCGCAAGUGACGGUAGGUGCAGAAGAAGGACCGGCCAACUACGUGCCAGCCGCUGCGGUAA